UUUAUAAGUGCAUGUUACUCACCAUGUUUAACUUGAUAAACAGUUAUUUCUCCGUCCAUAGUAGAGAAACCAUUAUAAUAUAAUGUGAUGGAAAAACUAAUUAAAUUUGGCUAGUAGUCUUUUUUAAGAAAAGGAAAUGAAUUCGUUAUCAACAUGGUUGAAAUUAUUAAUUGGAAGAAACGGUUGAAAUUAUUUGCAGGCUAGAGUGAUAAUAUGGUUGGGAAGUCAAGAAAUGGAAGCAAGGAAGGGUAACAAAGGACCAGCUUCAAUACCAUUGUUUCCAUUGCAACCUCAAGCACUAUUAAUGCAAGGCUUUUGCAUAAAGAGAUCACUUCACAAUUUCCUUCAGAAGAGAAAGAAAAGGUCUAAAAGUCACGUCUAGCUCCAUUGCAACUUACUAUAGCAAAAACUAGUCAAAUUAUGUACUACCAAAUUUUACCCUUUGCGGGGACCAAUAGUGUAUUUUCACUUGAUACACCACUUUCUUCAGUGGUCUAGUGAUAAGGCACAUUUUUAUCAAUGAAGAAUGGCUCUUCCAGUUCACUAUGACAUCUUCUAACCAUAAAUAUUCCAGUUUUGCAUAUAUGAAAAAAAAAUGUGUGGGUCGGUCGCAUUGAUCGAACAUUAAUGAAAGGAAAA
Molecule: long non-coding RNA, 639 nt
Filed under: Lotus japonicus
Lineage: Eukaryota; Viridiplantae; Streptophyta; Magnoliopsida; Fabales; Fabaceae
Description: long non-coding RNA (LJAP_LNC000912)
Source: RNAcentral